Molecule: ribosomal RNA, 793 nt
Filed under: Acarospora macrospora
Lineage: Eukaryota; Fungi; Ascomycota; Lecanoromycetes; Acarosporales; Acarosporaceae
Description: partial large subunit ribosomal RNA
Rfam family: Eukaryotic large subunit ribosomal RNA
Source: RNAcentral
CAAAUUUGAAAUCUGGCCCCGUCGGGGUCCGAGUUGUAAUUUGCAGAGGAUGCUUCGGGCAUGGAUCCGGUCUGAGUUCCUUGGAACAGGACGUCGCAGAGGGUGAGAGCCCCGUAUGUGACUGGCCUCCAAAGCCCAUGCGAAGCUCCUUCGACGAGUCGAGUUGUUUGGGAAUGCAGCUCCAAAUGGGUGGUAAAUUUCAUCUAAAGCUAAAUAUUGGCCAGAGACCGAUAGCGCACAAGUAGAGUGAUCGAAAGAUGAAAAGCACUUUGGAAAGAGAGUCAAACAGUACGUGAAAUUGUUGAAAGGGAAGCGCUUGCAACCAGACUUGCCCGCGGGCGAUCAGCCGGCGUUUGUCGCCGGUGCACUCGCCCGCGGUCAGGCCAGCAUCGGUUUGGGUGGCUGGACAAAGUCCCCCGGAAUGUGGCUCCUCCCGGGGAGUGUUAUAGCCGGAGGUGCCAUGCAGCCCGCCUGGACCGAGGACCGCGCUUCGGCUAGGAUGCUGGCGUAAUGGUUGCAAGCGACCCGUCUUGAAACACGGACCAAGGAGUCUAACAUCCAUGCGAGUGUUUGGGUGUCAAACCCAUGCGCGGAAUGAAAGUGAACGGAGGUGGGAACCCGUCCGGGUGCACCAUCGACCGAUCCUGAUGUCUUCGGAUGGAUUUGAGUAAGAGCAUGGCUGUUGGGACCCGAAAGAUGGUGAACUAUGCCUGAAUAGGGUGAAGCCAGAGGAAACUCUGGUGGAGGCUCGCAGCGGUUCUGACGUGCAAAUCGAUCGUCAAAUUUGGGUAUA